UACGUAGGGUGCAAGCGUUAAUCGGAAUUACUGGGCGUAGAGCGUGCGCGGGCGGUUGUGUAAGACAGAUGUGAAAUCCCCGGGCUCAACCUGGGAACUGCAUUUGUGACUGCACAGCUGGAGUGCGGCAGAGGGGGAUGGAAUUCCGCGUGUAGCAGUGAAAUGCGUAGAUAUGCGGAGGAACACCGAUGGCGAAGGCAAUCCCCUGGGCCUGCACUGACGCUCAUGCACGAAAGCGUGGGGAGCAAACAGG
RNAcentral lists this ribosomal RNA (253 nucleotides) under uncultured bacterium. RNAcentral describes it as "partial 16S ribosomal RNA". It matches the Rfam family "Bacterial small subunit ribosomal RNA", at positions 524 to 776 of the family's 1533-position model. The record is from RNAcentral.